UAUGUUGAAACAGUGGUUUCCGUACGAUUACGGAAGUUAAGCAACGUCGAGACUUGGCAGUACCUAGAUGGGUGACCGCUUGGGAAUACCAGGCGAUGUAAG
Non-coding RNA from Acanthosepion pharaonis, 102 nucleotides. NCBI's taxonomy places the organism in Eukaryota, Metazoa, Mollusca, Cephalopoda, Sepiida, Sepiidae. The record is from the annotation of a GenBank genome assembly.